RNAcentral lists this small RNA (655 nucleotides) under Pongo abelii (Sumatran orangutan). RNAcentral describes it as "processed transcript". Lineage: Eukaryota; Metazoa; Chordata; Mammalia; Primates; Hominidae. The record is from RNAcentral.
CGGCAAGGGGUGCGCGCCGGGGAGCGGACGCUGCAUCCCCUUUCUGCCGCAGGGACCUCUCAUCAGACCGCCUGAGGGAAGCGGCGCCCGGAGACCCGCCCCGGCCCGGUCCACAUUCUCCCCAGAAAGCCGGACUCUAUGGGGCGGGACCCUGGGGGAGCCUGAGCCGAGCCCGGAGCCAGCCCCGAACCCCUGAACCUCCAGCCAGGGGCGCCCCGGGAGCAGCCAGCCCGUGGGCGAGCCGCCCGCCCGCCGAGCAGCCAUGAGUGAGACGGUCAUCUGUUCCAGCCGGGCCACUGUGAUGCUUUAUGAUGAUGGCAACAAGCGAUGGCUCCCUGCUGGCACGGGUCCCCAGGCCUUCAGCCGCGUCCAGAUCUACCACAACCCCACGGCCAAUUCCUUUCGCGUCGUGGGCCGGAAGAUGCAGCCCGACCAGCAGGUGGUCAUCAACUGUGCCAUCGUCCGGGGCGUCAAGUAUAACCAGGCCACCCCCAACUUCCAUCAGUGGCGCGACGCUCGCCAGGUCUGGGGCCUCAACUUCGGCAGCAAGGAGGAUGCGGCCCAGUUUGCCGCCGGCAUGGCCAGUGCCCUAGAGGCGUUGGAAGGCAGCAGCCUGGCCCGUCGGAGCACAUAGAGCGCCGGGUCUCCAAUGCAG